AUUGAACGCUGGCGGCAUGCUUUACACAUGCAAGUCGAACGGUAACAGGCCGCAAGGUGCUGACGAGUGGCGAACGGGUGAGUAAUGCAUCGGAACGUGCCCAGUCGUGGGGGAUAACUACUCGAAAGAGUAGCUAAUACCGCAUACGAUCUAUGGAUGAAAUCGGGGGACCGUAAGGCCUCGCGCGAUUGGAGCGGCCGAUGUCAGAUUAGGUAGUUGGUGGGGUAAAGGCCCACCAAGCCAACGAUCUGUAGCUGGUCUGAGAGGACGACCAGCCACACUGGGACUGAGACACGGCCCAGACUCCUACGGGAGGCAGCAGUGGGGAAUUUUGGACAAUGGGCGCAAGCCUGAUCCAGCAAUGCCGCGUGCAGGAAGAAGGCCUUCGGGUUGUAAACUGCUUUUGUACGGAACGAAACGGCUCUGGUUAAUACCCGGGGCUAAUGACGGUACCGUAAGAAUAAGCACCGGCUAACUACGUG
Molecule: ribosomal RNA, 482 nt
Filed under: uncultured bacterium
Lineage: Bacteria
Description: partial 16S ribosomal RNA
Rfam family: Bacterial small subunit ribosomal RNA
Source: RNAcentral